Molecule: transfer RNA, 86 nt
Filed under: Acidimicrobiales bacterium
Lineage: Bacteria; Bacillati; Actinomycetota; Acidimicrobiia; Acidimicrobiales
Description: tRNA-Ser
Rfam family: tRNA
About the family: Transfer RNA (tRNA) molecules are approximately 80 nucleotides in length. Their secondary structure includes four short double-helical elements and three loops (D, anti-codon, and T loops). Further hydrogen bonds mediate the characteristic L-shaped molecular structure. tRNAs have two regions of fundamental functional importance: the anti-codon, which is responsible for specific mRNA codon recognition, and the 3' end, to which the tRNAs corresponding amino acid is attached (by aminoacyl-tRNA synthetases). tRNAs cope with the degeneracy of the genetic code in two manners: having more than one tRNA (with a specific anti-codon) for a particular amino acid; and 'wobble' base-pairing, i.e. permitting non-standard base-pairing at the 3rd anti-codon position.
Source: RNAcentral
GGAGGGAUGCGAGAGCGGACGAAUCGGGCGGUCUCGAAAACCGUUGUGGCCCCAGGUCACCGUGGGUUCGAAUCCCACUCCCUCCG